AAGGUAACAAAUUAGAGCUUGACAGGAAGCAUCUCAUUUACACUGAGAAUUUAAUUGUGCGAUUCAAUUUAAUUUG
Molecule: transfer RNA, 76 nt
Filed under: Sympetrum infuscatum
Lineage: Eukaryota; Metazoa; Arthropoda; Insecta; Odonata; Libellulidae
Description: tRNA-Val
Source: RNAcentral